AGGGUUAUAGUCAACUAUGACAUGUAAGUUGCAUUUACAAGGUGUUUUUUAACUGACCUUA
This 61-nucleotide transfer RNA is filed under the name Sagmariasus verreauxi (green rock lobster). RNAcentral's name for it is "tRNA-Ala". The record is from RNAcentral. Lineage: Eukaryota; Metazoa; Arthropoda; Malacostraca; Decapoda; Palinuridae.